RNAcentral lists this ribosomal RNA (82 nucleotides) under Bacillus paralicheniformis. RNAcentral's name for it is "partial 23S ribosomal RNA". It matches the Rfam family "Bacterial large subunit ribosomal RNA", at positions 2844 to 2925 of the family's 2925-position model. Lineage: Bacteria; Bacillati; Bacillota; Bacilli; Caryophanales; Bacillaceae. The record is from RNAcentral.
AUGAUCAGGUUGAUAGGUCUGAGGUGGAAGUGUGGCGACACAUGGAGCUGACAGAUACUAAUCGAUCGAGGACUUAACCUAA